AAGUAUUUGUAACGAGAAGAAGUAGAAGUGUGGUAAGGUUCCCAAGUAUCCACAUGUAUCAAUUGGAAUGGUCUAGUUGUACUGAUACUACUGUCAUGAAAAGGAAGUCUAGUCUGCUUGGCCAUAGGGCAGACAGAACAUGGAAAGGGUUGUUUAGGAGCAAGUGGAAAAGACAAACCUGAAAUAUGUCUAUUUGUAAAAGGAGUAUGUGCCAGUCUUAAAUGCCAAAUGUAAUUCAUAUAAUUGAUAACAAAAUUAUUACAAAUGGAAUUGUUUACAAUUGAAGGUAAACAAACAUUGUUGCUGUCAGACAUAGUGUCAUCAUUACAAAAAUUAGGCAAAGCACACACAGAAGUAAAAGGAGAAACAGAAGAGGGAGAAGGGGAAGGAGGCACCCAUGACAGUUUAUACAAUCCAGCUUCCUCUUUACCAAGAUCCAGAGGCCUCUUCAGAGAAGGGUCCUGUAUCAUGUGAAGUAAACAGGAAGUUGGAGUGAAUGAAACUAUACAGUGCAACUGUUUAAUCAACUUGUGAACAGAAAUCAAGUUGUGUUUAGGAAGGGACCAGAGGCACAUUAUGAAGAGUGAGGGAAGAAGUUAGUGCAAAAGAACCUGUACAAGUUACUUUUUCUUUGUAACCAUUUGGUAAAGUUACAAGAUAAGGAACAGUCAAAGGUAUGAUACUUUUACUUUGUAACCAUUAGGUAAAGUUACAAGAUAAGGAACAUCCAAAGGUAUGAUGUUAAAGAGUAGUUGUUUAUUAUGUGUCAUAUGAUUGGAUGCCCCUGAAUCAAUGAUCCAGGUGACAGAAUUAAUAUGUGUAAGCAUGCAUAGUNNNNNN
RNAcentral lists this long non-coding RNA (840 nucleotides) under Nicotiana benthamiana. RNAcentral describes it as "long non-coding RNA (NBEN_LNC025995)". Lineage: Eukaryota; Viridiplantae; Streptophyta; Magnoliopsida; Solanales; Solanaceae. The record is from RNAcentral.